UCUAAUAUGGCAGAAUUUAGUGCAGUGGAUUUAAGCUCCACGUAUAAAGUUUUAUACUUUUUUUAGAA
RNAcentral lists this transfer RNA (68 nucleotides) under Hierodula patellifera. RNAcentral describes it as "tRNA-Leu". The record is from RNAcentral. Lineage: Eukaryota; Metazoa; Arthropoda; Insecta; Mantodea; Mantidae.